GGGAGCCGUGUGCGGGAAAGCCGCACGCACGGAUCUGAGAGGGGCUAGGGGUGCGAGUCCCUAGUCUACUCGCCU
This 75-nucleotide non-coding RNA is filed under the name Butyrivibrio proteoclasticus. The record is from RNAcentral. Lineage: Bacteria; Bacillati; Bacillota; Clostridia; Lachnospirales; Lachnospiraceae.